RNAcentral lists this ribosomal RNA (396 nucleotides) under uncultured bacterium. RNAcentral describes it as "partial 16S ribosomal RNA". It matches the Rfam family "Bacterial small subunit ribosomal RNA", at positions 523 to 918 of the family's 1533-position model. The record is from RNAcentral.
AUACGUAGGUGGCAAGCGUUGUCCGGAAUUACUGGGUGUAAAGGGCGUGUAGGCGGAGCGGCAAGUCAGAAGUGAAAUCUCCGGGCUUAACCCGGAAACUGCUUUUGAAACUGUCGCCCUUGAGUAUCGGAGAGGCAGGCGGAAUUCCUAGUGUAGCGGGGGAGGGCGUAGAUAUUAGGAGGAACACCAGUGGCGAAGGCGGCCUGCUGGACGACAACUGACGCUGAGGCGCGAAAGCGUGGGGAGCAAACAGGAUUAGAUACCCUGGUAGUCCACGCCGUAAACGAUGGAUACUAGGUGUGGGGGGACUGACCCCCUCCGUGCCGCAGUCAACACAAUAAGUAUCCCACCUGGGGAGUACGAUCGCAAGAUUGAAACUCAAAUGAAUUGACGGGG